GUCCAGAAACGCCCAGGAGUCCUCAGAGCUCUGUGCUGCCCUCCGGGCCGCUCUCCUGUGCUGAAGUCCUCAGAGCUCUGUGCUGCCCUCCGGGCCGCUCUCCUGUGCUGUUACCAACCUCGCAGAUCAAGAUGGUUAACUCUCAACUCCUUCUCCAGCACCAUGUCUGCCUGCACACUGCCGUGUUCCACCCCGAAGACAAUGGACUAAACUUCUGAAUUCUUCUCCACAGGCUCCAGAUAACCUCAGUUCUCCCGGAGACAGAGGGGGUGGCCUAGGAGGCCUGUUUCACUUCCCAGGAAAAUUCACAAACCACAACUGUGAAUCUGGGCAUUGCUUUGCUGAGCUGCAGCCCUGUUUUUAGGAGUUGAGCACUAUGUGG
This 382-nucleotide long non-coding RNA is filed under the name Cricetulus griseus (Chinese hamster). RNAcentral describes it as "lncRNA (ENSCGRG00015031205.1)". Lineage: Eukaryota; Metazoa; Chordata; Mammalia; Rodentia; Cricetidae. The record is from RNAcentral.